This 874-nucleotide ribosomal RNA is filed under the name Gulosibacter sp. RNAcentral's name for it is "bacterial SSU rRNA". It matches the Rfam family "Bacterial small subunit ribosomal RNA", at positions 581 to 1452 of the family's 1533-position model. The record is from RNAcentral. Lineage: Bacteria; Bacillati; Actinomycetota; Actinomycetes; Micrococcales; Microbacteriaceae.
UGUCGCGUCUGCUGUGAAAUCCCGAGGCUCAAACCUCGGGCCUGCAGUGGGUACGGGCAGACUUGAGUGCGGUAGGGGAGAUUGGAAUUCCUGGUGUAGCGGUGGAAUGCGCAGAUAUCAGGAGGAACACCGAUGGCGAAGGCAGAUCUCUGGGCCGUUACUGACGCUGAGGAGCGAAAGCAUGGGGAGCGAACAGGAUUAGAUACCCUGGUAGUCCAUGCCGUAAACGUUGGGCGCUAGAUGUGGGGACCAUUCCACGGUUUCUGUGUCGUAGCUAACGCAUUAAGCGCCCCGCCUGGGGAGUACGGCCGCAAGGCUAAAACUCAAAGGAAUUGACGGGGGCCCGCACAAGCGGCGGAGCAUGCGGAUUAAUUCGAUGCAACGCGAAGAACCUUACCAAGGCUUGACAUAUACCGGAAACUUCCAGAGAUGGUUGCCCUGCUUGCAGUCGGUAUACAGGUGGUGCAUGGUUGUCGUCAGCUCGUGUCGUGAGAUGUUCGGUUAAGUCCGGCAACGAGCGCAACCCUCGUCCUAUGUUGCCAGCACGUUAUGGUGGGAACUCAUGGGAUACUGCCGUGGUCAACACGGAGGAAGGUGGGGAUGACGUCAAAUCAUCAUGCCCCUUAUGUCUUGGGCUUCACGCAUGCUACAAUGGCCGGUACAAUGGGCUGCGAUACCGCGAGGUGGAGCGAAUCCCAAAAAGCCGGUCUCAGUUCGGAUUGGGGUCUGCAACUCGACCCCAUGAAGUCGGAGUCGCUAGUAAUCGCAGAUCAGCAACGCUGCGGUGAAUACGUUCCCGGGCCUUGUACACACCGCCCGUCAAGUCAUGAAAGUCGGUAACAUUAGAAGCCGGUGGCCUAACCCUGGGAGGGAA